GAUGAACGCUGGCGGCGCGCCUAAUACAUGCAAGUCGAGCGAACAGACGAGGAGCUUGCUCCUCUGACGUUAGCGGCGGACGGGUGAGUAACACGUGGAUAACCUACCUAUAAGACUGGGAUAACUUCGGGAAACCGGAGCUAAUACCGGAUAAUAUAUUGAACCGCAUGGUUCAAUAGUGAAAGACGGUUUUGCUGUCACUUAUAGAUGGAUCCGCGCCGCAUUAGCUAGUCGGUAAGGUAACGGCUUACCAAGGCAACGAUGCGUAGCCGACCUGAGAGGGUGAUCGGCCACACUGGAACUGAGACACGGUCCAGACUCCUACGGGAGGCAGCAGUAGGGAAUCUUCCGCAAUGGGCGAAAGCCUGACGGAGCAACGCCGCGUGAGUGAUGAAGGUCUUCGGAUCGUAAAACUCUGUUAUUAGGGAAGAACAAAUGUGUAAGUAACUAUGCACGUCUUGACGGUACCUAAUCAGAAAGCCACGGCUAACUACGUG
RNAcentral lists this ribosomal RNA (497 nucleotides) under uncultured bacterium. Its description in RNAcentral is "partial 16S ribosomal RNA". It matches the Rfam family "Bacterial small subunit ribosomal RNA", at positions 28 to 507 of the family's 1533-position model. The record is from RNAcentral.